GCGCUCCCCCGAGCCGCCCGGAGGAGUUUUCCCAAGUUCUGUUUACAGAGGGGUAAUUUGUGUUUUCUGUGUCACUAGCGGGGCUGGGGGAACCCUGGCUCGCCCCCCAGGCUCUCGCAGGGUGUGGGCAGGGAGGCCGGGGCGGGCUCCUCUCAGUGUCCCGAGCACUGUGACUUCCACCAAAGCAGCCGUGGCUCCGGUGACAGGAGCCGGGAAUGUGCGGGAUUUGCCUGCCAGGACCGGGAUCCGCAGGUGAGUGCACAUCCUCCCGGCCCCGGAGGUCAGGCUGAGCUGCUGUCACCUCAGCAGGUUACACGGAGGGCACUACCACGGGCCAUCCUCCGUCCUGUUCGCCUAAUCCUGCUCAAGCAAAGCCCGGCUCCAGCGGGGGCUGGAUCCACCCUCAGCGCCUCGCUGACCCACUCGUGUUAAUUGUCCCGCGGGGUCAAGGGCCUGGUAGUGCAGGCUCAGGGACAGAUUCGUUCUGAACCCUAAAAGACAAAAGUACGGAUGCCCUAAGGCGUAGCUGUGUUUCAUUAUGCAAUGAAAGUGUUCGAUUUAAAGCAAAGAUUUGUUUUGGGUUUUUUACAUUUGAACCCUAUUUCGGUUAUUUAAUCAUAGUUAGAAAGAAAAAAAGGUCAUCACAUUCUAUUUGAAGCGCAAUUCACUGAGGGAUAUUUUAAAGAAAGUGUUUUGGUUUAGAAUUCAUGUGGUACAUUGAUGGAAAAGUUUGUCAGGAUCUGGUGUUUGUUUCAGUAGGAUUGGUCCCACAAAGCUGCUUGUGUUCAGGUCAGCAGGAAAGUCGUGGAAUUGCACCAAAGGAGCGAGAGACGGCAAGAGUUGAAUCCGUAAUUCCAGUCUGCAUCGGGAGCAACACCUUCAUUUUUAUUCCUGUUAACAGUUUAAUUAAGCAGUGUCAGUGCAGGAGCCUGCUUUCUGAAUUUCCUGCUCCAAAUUAUUCGUAAUAAUUUCAGUAAGUGAUGGAUUUCACAAAACUGGUGAGGUUUAAUCAGAUAAAUCAAAGAAAGUUCUACCUUGCUAUAUAAAAGUAUACCAAUCAAAAUUACAUAGCAUAUCGGCUUCUGCCUUCAAAGUUAUGUUUUAAACUAUAUUAGCGCUAAACAAAGCAUUUUCCUUUUUAAACAUGCUCUUUCAGGAGUUCAGCUGAAUACAGGUUGUGCUGGUGCCAAAUCUGGGUGCUAAUUUUCCAGGAUUGAGGCAUGUAUGUGUUUGCUGGAGAGGGGCCUCUGCAAAUAGAGCUUCUGAGAGUGGUAAAACCAUGUCAUUGUGAUUUUCUGGUUGUGAAGGGCUGUAAGAUCAGGCCUUUAGGUUUUGGAUUUUCUGUAGGUUGUUUUGGGAUGAAAUGUGAUUUUUUUUUUCUGAAUUUUUGUGUUUCUUGAAAGGGUUAAGUGUCCCAAGCAGCUUGAGUAAUGUGUGGAGUAAUGAGUUCUCACAGAACCUUUUGACUCUGGUGAGAAUUGGGAACAGUUUUGUCUCCUGAGGGUCUGAUUCAGUCAGAAUAAUUAAACUUAUAAAUUCUGGGGGAAAAAAAGAGGUCUGUAAACUCAAUGGAGAAAGAGUAUUUAAUUUCAUUUCUGUAGACUACUGGUUCUGUUUUAAUGGAAGUAAUAGCAAGACUGCUUUCUGUAAUAUUGGUAUCUUGGUUUUAAUUUCCCAGUCAGUGCUCUAAUCCCUGAUAGUGAUUGUUAUGAAACCAAACUUCAAAGAAAUACACAGUCAUCUGUAGCAUCUACUAAGUAUUUCACAUUUUAGUAUAUUAAGGGCCCCACCUUGUAUUACAGUGAUUCUGUGAGUUACUAGAACACAUUUAUCAAGCUAGAAUUGCACAACUAGGGUCUUAAAAUGUUCAUGAUUAAAACAUACUAAGUGGUGUAUUUGAUAAAGCAAGCCCAAGUGUCUUUUAGUUGAACUUUACUUUUUAUAAGAGCCUUAAUACUGGAGAGAAAGAAAAGGACUUGUCUCCAUUUGAAAGCACUUUGAAACCUGGUAGAAAUAUAGCAAACCAUCAUUUAUUUACGUGUUGUAGCUUUCCAAAGCUUGGCCUUUUUAACUGACAGAGUGAACCAACAGCAGUUAUGUGGACUAAUGAAAAUGCUUGGAGAAAAAAGUAGUUUCUAUGCAUUUUAGAUCAACUGAUGCUGCAACUUUGCUUAUGAAGUUUUAACAGGAUUUCCUGUUUAUUGUUUCAAUGGCUUUAAAAAACACAGGCAGUGUUUUUAAAAAAAACAUUUUUAACUCUAAGCAAUUCUAGAUCUCUAAAAUUAUUUUCCAGUGAUUGGCAGUUUUCAUUGUCAUUUGAUUUAUGCAGAGUAUGUAGGUCUCUAAAAAUUCUCCAAAAGUCUUUAAAAAAGAUUUAAAAUCUCCUUCUAGCACCUGUGGCUUAAACAUUUUCAAUCUGGAUUACCUGAGUGGAUGUAUGUGUAUCCAGUGCACAAGGAGGUUGUUGUAUUUUAUUUUUUAUCAUGACUUAGGUGAACUUACUGUUGUUCUGGGUUGGAAUUUUACAGGCAGAAUUGGGCUAUGGCUUUAUAAUACUGUUCAGAUAUUAUUGUUCUUUUAUUUAUGGCCACAUCUGCCACAUGCAAAUCUGAAUAUUCAACCUUUUGAAGUCAUAGAAUACCAGUAGAAUGUUUUCAUGGAAAUUAUCAGUAGCAUAUGCCAAAACUGCACUACUUCGAUUACAUAUUUGCACUUCUGUCACAUGAAUUUAUUUCUGAGAAAGGUUUAUUCAUAUUUCCAAACACGUGUUCAGUUCAAUGGGUGGGAGUAUUUUUCCACUUCAUGUAGUUUUCAGUCCCUUAGAUUUAAAUCUGAACUCAUCUAUUCCAUCUAACACUUGCUAGAAGCAUUGUGAUAAGUGGAGAUGAAAUAGAAACGUCAAAUGAUAUUUAUAUAAUACAUAAACAAUGAUUUUGAGGAGAAAAAUGUGUUGAAGGGGGUCAUUUUCAAGUUGGCAGGACACCAAUUGUUUUAUUGGGAGCUUGAGUGAAACAUCUUUUUAAAAUUGUAUUUCUAAAGAAUAUUGUUCAAGAAAAACUUUCACAAGCAAAGUUAAAUAUUUGAAAAUUUUCAAGCCAAUCUGUUUCUGGAAAAAAUGGUUUUAUAUGCAUGAAUGGGGUCCAUGCCACCUCCCUUUCCAAGUGAUACAGAAUGGUUUAGGCAAGGCAAUAAUCCUUAGGUCGUGUACUUCACUUGUAAGUGAAUUAUUCAUUGCUUAUGUUGCUGCAGGUAUAAAAAUGUGUCUGUCAUUUAUGUAGCUUUGUGAAAUGUGCCAUGUUAUUUUAUGUGCACUAUAAUGCUCAUUUAUACAGCGAGUCCAGUUGUACUGUAUGUCUGAUAGACAAGGAUGUUUGCUGCUUCACACUGGAACUGGUAGGGGUUUUGCAUGUGAUUCUAUGCCUUCUGUGGCAAGAAUUUGGAGAUUUACCCUAAUUAUUAGAAAUCCUAAAACAAAUGAGAACUAUUAAGUGACUGCUAAUGAAAUUUCAGCUAGCUAAACAUAUUAUUUAUUAGCAUAAAAUCAGCAACUGAAGGUGUUGUACUUAUUUUCACUAAAUGUACAUAAUUUCAGGUAAAUUAUUUUUUUCUCCUUUUACCAUUUGCAAGUAACUUUUUGAUGUGAAUGUGUGUGCUUCAGUAUCUCAGUAAACAACAGAGUACGUGCACACUCAGUUGUUUCAGCAGAUAUGAGGGGCAGAUAUAUCACUUGAAUGAACAAAUGUCUGUUCAUGCAUGAGCAUCAUCCCUUUACAGAUACGUGAAAUGUUUUUCCAUAAUGCCAACAGGCAAGCAGCUGCUAAUUUUAAUGUAAAGUAACCUGCAGAAAUAAUCAGAAUCUGAUUUUUUUGAACGUAUCAUAUAUUAAAAUUUGUAUGUGCCUUUCAGCAUUCCUAGAAAUAAAGCUCACGCGUUCCUUAGCUCUCCCACCACAAGUCCAUUAAUGAACUUGUCAUUAAAAUGAAAUUUUUACAAAAAUACAAUAAUCCUAAUUCCUGACACAUUUUUAGCUGUGCCAGAAAUCAUGUAUCUAUAGCAGCCAGAAGGAUUUGAUAAUAUAUUCCCAUAUUACAGUAAAAGAAAUGUCAGUCAGAAAUACGUCUUCCUGGUACACCUCUGCAUUUAUGUAGUUAAGUAAAAAAGAAGCCAAUUGUGACUAUAGUUAGUAUAGCAGAAUUUACUUGUUUUAUAUAUUCACCUCUUGCACAGAUAUUCUAAAUAUAUAUUCUAUCUGAAUCCAGAAGUUCUAGUUUUCUAUGAUAUCUGUUCAUGGAGACUUGGUCUUUUCAACUUCUACUGUUACUUAUCUGAUGCUGCAUAAUGCAUAUUGUUAAAAUGUUUUGAUGGAUUUAAUCUGUCUGCAGGGUUUAUAUCAUGAAACAAAAGUGCUCAGUGCAAGGAAUAUCUGAAGUAAAUUACUUUUACCUUCCAGCUAUUCUGCAUGGCUUUUUUGGCAAAUCCUCAGUAAUUCUGUUUCCUGUAGGUACUCCACGUGCACAUGCUUGGAGUAAAUGGAAGGAUUACUUAAUGGAAUGGAAAUAUUUUUGAGCACUGAAAUUAAGGAUUUUCCAACUUAAAUAGUUCAAGGCAAGAAGUAAAUAUAGUGAAUAUUUCUGUAAAACAAAGCCCACUGUUCCUAUGUAGAACUGAGCAGUAUUUUAUUUAAAAUGGAACACAGUGGUGUAUUUCAAAAUUAAACUUGUUCAGGGAAACACACCUGUUUCAGUGAAGGUUUUCUCAGGUUCAGCUGAUAGGAGAGAAUUGCCCUAAAAUAAAGAAGUGGUAAGAGUAUUUCCUUACAUCUAUGUAUGGGCUUGAAUGUUGGUCUUCCAUGAGCAAAGUGGAUACUGAGCUAUAAAAUCAUUGGCUAUUGCUUGAAGGUUUUCUUUAUCCAAUUUACAAAUACUGCUUGAACAUACUCUCACAGAAAGGAUUUUUGACAUUGGGUUUCCCCAUCUUGUGUGAAUAUUCUCUUCAUUGAUCACUCUGGCUUUUGCUUGAAGCCUCUGUUGUUGAGGAAAGAUCUGAUUUUAUUUUUAUGCUACAUAGGAAGAUUAUUUUACAUUACAUUUCUGGAGGGGAAGGCAGGGAAAUGUUUUCCUUGCAAUUUUCAGUUUUUUGAUAUUAAACAAUAGCAUGAAGUAUAAAAAUUGCUUGAAAUAACAUAUGCACUAGUGAUUCCAAAGAAUAUAGCUAAGAAUAAUGUCAAGUGUGAGUUGUGCUUUUACAAAACAUAUGUGCUUUGAUCUAGAAAGGCAGGGAGAAAGUCCUAGUCUCCAGUGCAAGCUAUUAAUGCCAGGGAUUUCUUUCUAUGCAAUUCUAUGGUGCAUCUGUUUUUAUAGGGAUUAACUUGAUUAGUGUGGUUCAUGUAUCAGUGUGUUAUGUAUAGAAUAUUCUGUUUAAAGUGUCAUUAAGGAAACUGUGUGUCUUAAAUGGUGUUACAACUUUAGGCUCUGUUUUGUCCAACCUGACUUCACUAAAUCAUAAGAAAUUCCUCUGAAUAACAAUAAGAAGACAAUAUUUCAUAACAUUGCAUAAUCAAGUCUCAUAUGUUACACUUAUCACCUUCUAGGACAAAAGUUGUGUUACUGUUGUGAGUUUUAAAAUUUUUGUAUUUCUGUAUCUUAAAACAAAAAGCCAAAUUGUGCUACACUUUUAAAUGCAAAGAGCUUAUAAAUGUGUUUUUAAAGCUUAUCGAAAAUAGUCAAACUAAAAUUGGCUGGGAUUACUCGUGUGUCAAGUUUCUGAACUGUGUUAUAAAAAUGUUUGUGUACCUCCUGUGCCUCCUUCAUGGAGGGGCACCCUUGGUGCAAAACCUGCCAACAUCUGGACACGAAUCCAGGUUGUGCUGCAGGAAAAUUGCUGUGACAGAAUUGCUGUUCUUGGAGAGGUUUGAGCAAACCCAACUCCUCCCUUGUAGUGUUACACAAAUAGAGGUUCUGUCUGUUGAAGAGAAUGUUCUUCAACAUGCAGGUGUUUAUUACUGUUUCUUUGAUUUACUGUGAUUUCAUUCUGGAAAAAAAAAAGUCACUUAACUCUGUACUUGACUAGUAAAUUACUUUUGGUUGUAGUGUCUUCUGCAAUGUUUCUAUUUCACCAAAUAAUGUUUGUUUCUAAUGUUUGUAAAAGUUAAUGUAAUAUCACCAAAAGUCAAAAUCAACAUUUUCUAAUAAUGCCUUGUAAUUUACCUAGCCUUACAGUAUUUCAGAAAAUUUUCCACCAAAACUGCAUCUAGUCACUGCUUGUCACAAUUAUGAAAAAGAGAUAUUUAUAAAUCUGUAGCUUCUAGCUGCCAUUAAAGAUUACUGAGACGAAUCAUGAGCAUGUGGUGACUAUAAACUCUUUCUUUUUCUUAAACCAA
Molecule: non-coding RNA, 6379 nt
Organism: Sturnus vulgaris (Common starling)
Lineage: Eukaryota; Metazoa; Chordata; Aves; Passeriformes; Sturnidae
Source: RefSeq, a predicted model, not a curated record